RNAcentral lists this ribosomal RNA (236 nucleotides) under uncultured bacterium. RNAcentral describes it as "partial 16S ribosomal RNA". It matches the Rfam family "Bacterial small subunit ribosomal RNA", at positions 524 to 757 of the family's 1533-position model. The record is from RNAcentral.
UACGGGGGGAGCAAGCGUUGUUCGGAUUUACUGGGCGUAAAGGGCGCGUAGGCGGUCGUGACAAGUCACUUGUGAAAUCUCCGGGCUUAACUCGGAACGGUCAAGUGAUACUGUCGGACUAGAGUACAGAAGGGGCAACUGGAAUUCUCGGGUGUAGCGGGUGAAAUGCGUAGAUAUCUGGAGGAACACCGGUGGCGAAGGCGGCGUUCUGGCUGCAACUGACACUGAAAAACGAA